UCUCACAUUGAAAAAUUAAUGUUCCUCUUCUUUCUCCCCUACACGCCACCGCCAUUGGCGAAACACGAGAACCACACCUCUUCCACCUUCACAUUGUCGUCACCCCCUUUCUUCCGCCAGAAUAAUCUUCCGUUAACGCCGAUGCAACUUACACCAUACACAAAAACGACAACCGCGACACCGCAACACCUCACCUCUUCCGGUCCCCAUCGUCAUCCAACACCAAACCCCCAGAUCGCCAUUCCCUUCCGG
This 252-nucleotide long non-coding RNA is filed under the name Lathyrus oleraceus (garden pea). Its description in RNAcentral is "Pisum sativum (pea) long non-coding RNA (PSAT_LNC013195)". Lineage: Eukaryota; Viridiplantae; Streptophyta; Magnoliopsida; Fabales; Fabaceae. The record is from RNAcentral.